UGGGGGAAUAUUGCACAAUGGGCGCAAGCCUGAUGCAGCCAUGCCGCGUGUGUGAAGAAGGCCUUCGGGUUGUAAAGCACUUUCAGCGAGGAGGAAGGUGGUGAACUUAAUACGUUCAUCAAUUGACGUUACUCGCAGAAGAAGCACCGGCUAACUCCGUGCCAGCAGCCGCGGUAAUACGGAGGGUGCAAGCGUUAAUCGGAAUUACUGGGCGUAAAGCGCACGCAGGCGGUUUGUUAAGUCAGAUGUGAAAUCCCCGGGCUCAACCUGGGAACUGCAUUUGAAACUGGCAAGCUAGAGUCUCGUAGAGGGGGGUAGAAUUCCAGGUGUAGCGGUGAAAUGCGUAGAGAUCUGGAGGAAUACCGGUGGCGAAGGCGGCCCCCUGGACGAAGACUGACGCUCAGGUGCGAAAGCGUGGGGAGCAAAACAGGAUUAGAUACCCCUGGUAGUCCACGCUGUAAAACGAUGUCGAUUUUGGAGGUUGUGCCCCUUGAGGCGUGGCUUCCGGAGCUAACG
RNAcentral lists this ribosomal RNA (516 nucleotides) under uncultured bacterium. RNAcentral describes it as "partial 16S ribosomal RNA". It matches the Rfam family "Bacterial small subunit ribosomal RNA", at positions 354 to 857 of the family's 1533-position model. The record is from RNAcentral.